UCCGGAUCCGUNCGACAGAGUUUGAUCGUGGCUCAGAUUGAACGCUGGCGGCAGGCCUAACACAUGCAAGUCGAGCGGUAGCACAGAGAGCUUGCUCUCGGGUGACGAGCGGCGGACGGGUGAGUAAUGUCUGGGAAACUGCCUGAUGGAGGGGGAUAACUACUGGAAACGGUAGCUAAUACCGCAUAAUGUCGCAAGACCAAAGUGGGGGACCUUCGGGCCUCAUGCCAUCAGAUGUGCCCAGAUGGGAUUAGCUAGUAGGUGGGGUAANGGCUCACCUAGGCGACGAUCCCUAGCUGGUCUGAGAGGAUGACCAGCCACACUGGAACUGAGACACGGUCCAGACUCCUACGGGAGGCAGCAGUGGGGAAUAUUGCACAAUGGGCGCAAGCCUGAUGCAGCCAUGCCGCGUGUGUGAAGAAGGCCUUCGGGUUGUAAAGCACUUUCAGCGGGGAGGAAGGCGAUAAGGUUAAUAACCUUGUNGAUUGACGUACCCGCAGAAGAAG
RNAcentral lists this ribosomal RNA (506 nucleotides) under Klebsiella quasipneumoniae. RNAcentral describes it as "bacterial SSU rRNA". It matches the Rfam family "Bacterial small subunit ribosomal RNA", at positions 1 to 490 of the family's 1533-position model. The record is from RNAcentral. Lineage: Bacteria; Pseudomonadati; Pseudomonadota; Gammaproteobacteria; Enterobacterales; Enterobacteriaceae.